Molecule: small nuclear RNA, 107 nt
Organism: Rhinolophus ferrumequinum (greater horseshoe bat)
Lineage: Eukaryota; Metazoa; Chordata; Mammalia; Chiroptera; Rhinolophidae
Source: Ensembl
GUGCUCGCUUCGGCAGCACAUAUACUAAAAUUGGAAUGCUAUAGAGAAAAUUAGCAUGGCCCCUGCAUAAGGAUGACGUACAAAUUCGUGAAGUGUUCCACAUUUUU